RNAcentral lists this long non-coding RNA (453 nucleotides) under Pan troglodytes (chimpanzee). Its description in RNAcentral is "lincRNA". Lineage: Eukaryota; Metazoa; Chordata; Mammalia; Primates; Hominidae. The record is from RNAcentral.
CAGAGGGAUUUAGAGCAGGCGUUAAGCUUGAAGCUCUGAAGUCUGCUGUGAGAAUGAAAUGAGAUAGCAAAGCUGUGCCUGAAGUCAGGUCUACCCUUUGGACUUUCUCUUCAAUUUAAGUCAUUUUUAGUAGUGUUUCUGCCUCUUGGAAUCUAAAGGAGCCACAUGAAUGUAAUGAAGUUAUGUGCCAGGUGCUAUGAGGCGAUGAGAAGGAAGAAGAGUAUGUACCACUGUCUUCCUGGAGGAAGUGACACAGGACCUGAGUCUUGAAAGCCCAGUAGGACUUAGCCAGCUCAAGGGAUUCUGAGCAGAGUGAACCACAUAAGAAAUUACGUAGGAGCAUGACAGUUUGUGCCGUGUUUUGGAGAUCAAUGCAGUUCAUUGUUAUUGGAGUGAGGUCAGCAGUAGUGGAACAUUAGGUGGAUGAAUAAAUGUCACUAUCUCCAUCCCCAA